Molecule: ribosomal RNA, 251 nt
Filed under: uncultured bacterium
Lineage: Bacteria
Description: partial 16S ribosomal RNA
Rfam family: Bacterial small subunit ribosomal RNA
Source: RNAcentral
UACGAGGGAUCCUAGCGUUGUUCGGAAUCAUUGGGCGUAAAGGGCGCGUAGGUGGCCCGGUCAGUUCGUGGUGAAAGCGCGGGCUCAACUCCGCGUCGGCCAUGAAUACUGCUGGGCUUGAGCACUGUAGAGGCAGGCGGAAUUCCGGGUGUAGCGGUGGAAUGCGUAGAGAUCCGGAAGAACACCGGUGGCGAAGGCGGCCUGCUGGCAGUAGCUGGACACUGAGGCGCGACAGCGUGGGGAGCAACAGG